AAACUAAAUUUUCGGCUGCAUGCCACAGCCUUCUUCAGAGGAAGAAGAAGAAGGCUGUGGCAUGCAGCCGAAAAUUUAG
Paramuricea clavata is the source of this 79-nucleotide non-coding RNA. The record is from the annotation of a GenBank genome assembly. NCBI's taxonomy places the organism in Eukaryota, Metazoa, Cnidaria, Anthozoa, Malacalcyonacea, Plexauridae.